Molecule: transfer RNA, 74 nt
Filed under: Streptococcus pneumoniae
Lineage: Bacteria; Bacillati; Bacillota; Bacilli; Lactobacillales; Streptococcaceae
Also listed under: 64 other names
Description: tRNA-Glu(ttc)
Rfam family: tRNA
About the family: Transfer RNA (tRNA) molecules are approximately 80 nucleotides in length. Their secondary structure includes four short double-helical elements and three loops (D, anti-codon, and T loops).
Source: RNAcentral
UGGCCCGUUGGUCAAGCGGUUAAGACACCGCCCUUUCACGGCGGUAACACGGGUUCGAAUCCCGUACGGGUCAU